RNAcentral lists this ribosomal RNA (355 nucleotides) under uncultured eukaryote. Its description in RNAcentral is "SSU rRNA". It matches the Rfam family "Eukaryotic small subunit ribosomal RNA", at positions 594 to 945 of the family's 1831-position model. The record is from RNAcentral.
AUAGCGUAUAUUAAAGUUGUUGCAGUUAAAAAGCUCGUAGUUGAACUUCAGGCCUGGUCGUUCGGUCCGCCUCACGGCGUGUUUACUGUAUCGACUGGGCCUUCCUUUCUUGGUGAGCUCUAUAUGCCCUUUAUUGGGUGUGUGGAUGUCUGGCCAGGACUUUUACUUUGAAAAAAUUAGAGUGUUCAAAGCAGGCCUAUGCCCGAAUAUAUUAGCAUGGAAUAAUAGAAUAGGACGUUGCGUUCCUAUUUUGUUGGUUUCUAGGAUCGCCGUAAUGAUUAAUAGGGAUAGUCGGGGGCAUUAGUAUUCACAUGCUAGAGGUGAAAUUCUUGGAUUUUGUGAAGACUAACUUCUG